RNAcentral lists this ribosomal RNA (372 nucleotides) under uncultured organism. RNAcentral's name for it is "bacterial SSU rRNA". It matches the Rfam family "Bacterial small subunit ribosomal RNA", at positions 526 to 896 of the family's 1533-position model. The record is from RNAcentral.
CGUAAGUGGCGAGCGUUAUCCGGAAUUACUGGGCGUAAAGCGUGCGUAGGCGGUUUAGUGUGUGGGAAUUGAAAGCCCGGGGCUCAACUCCGGAUCCGGUUCCCAAACUGCUAGACUCGAGAGUAUCAGAGGAGAGCGGAAUUCCCGGUGUAGCGGUAAUAUGCGUAGAUAUCGGGAGGAACACCAGUGGCGAAGGCGGCUCUCUGGGGUAUUUCUGACGCUGAGGCACGAAAGCCAGGGGAGCGAACGGGAUUAGAUACCCCGGUAGUCCUGGCCUUAAACGAUGAUCACUAGGUGUAGGAGGCUUCGACCCCUUCUGCGCCGCCGCUAACGCAUUAAGUGAUCCGCCUGGGGAGUACGGCCGUAAGGUUA